Aegilops tauschii subsp. strangulata is the source of this 510-nucleotide non-coding RNA. NCBI's taxonomy places the organism in Eukaryota, Viridiplantae, Streptophyta, Magnoliopsida, Poales, Poaceae. The record is from RefSeq and is a predicted model, not a curated record.
CACCGACAGAACUGAGGUUAUGUUCAUCUCUCGUGCAAAUGGUCACGUACUUAGUACACCAGUAUAGUCCUCCUCAAAUUAUAAAGUACAUAUCUCAAAAAUUUAUGGGCAAAAAACGCCACUGCCAGCCAGCCAACAGACACCGGAUGAUCCAAAUUGCACUUGUCAAUAAUGCUCCCAAUAGCACAAACAAGAAAAAGGCAAAAAGAUCUGCAACUCACACAAUCAAGACCUCUUCUUCGAAAAAGAAACUUCAUCUCCCUGAGCAAAGAUUGGCUCGUCUACUUUGGGAGCUAUGAAAUAAAUGGAGAUGUUAUGAUUGUGACCACCCUUUUUGGACAUUUUACUUAUGUCGUCUGCCUGCGACAAGUAUCACCGGGUUACGUGAUAAGACUUUGUGUUUGCCAAUUCCGACUUAUCUGUACUGUGUUUUCAGAGAACCAUUGCUCCUGUCUGAACUGAAUUAUCCAAGACUUGCAUCUCUACAAUCACCCUUAUUUAUCCUCUAAA